AAGCUGUGAUGAAUUUUAUUGCAUUGAUCUUCUGAAAUGAUAAUGUAUUUUGUCCUCUAAGAAGUUCUGAGCUU
This is a small nucleolar RNA of Loxodonta africana (African savanna elephant), 74 nucleotides long. Ensembl annotates it as small nucleolar RNA SNORD61. The record is from Ensembl. NCBI's taxonomy places the organism in Eukaryota, Metazoa, Chordata, Mammalia, Proboscidea, Elephantidae.